This 251-nucleotide ribosomal RNA is filed under the name uncultured bacterium. RNAcentral describes it as "partial 16S ribosomal RNA". It matches the Rfam family "Bacterial small subunit ribosomal RNA", at positions 524 to 776 of the family's 1533-position model. The record is from RNAcentral.
UACAGAGGUCCCAAGCGUUGUUCGGAUUUACUGGGCGUAAAGGGUGCGUAGGUGGCGAGGUAAGUUCGAUGUGAAAUCUCCGAGCUCAACUCGGAAAUGGCAUUGAAUACUAUCCCGCUUGAGGGUCGGAGGGAGACUGGAAUUCUCGGUGUAGCAGUGAAAUGCGUAGAUAUCGAGAGGAACACCUGCGGCGAAGGCGGGUUGCUGGGCUGACACUGACGCUGAGGCGCGAAAGCUAGGGAGCGAACGGG